UACGGAGGAUCCGAGCGUUAUCCGGAUUUAUUGGGUUUAAAGGGUGCGUAGGCGGCGAGUUAAGUCAGCGGUAAAAGCCCGGGGCUCAACCCCGGCGAGCCGUUGAAACUGGCAGACUUGAGUUGGCGAGAAGUACGCGGAAUGCGCGGUGUAGCGGUGAAAUGCAUAGAUAUCGCGCAGAACUCCGAUUGCGAAGGCAGCAUACCGGCGCCCGACUGACGCUGAGGCACGAAAGCGUGGGGAUCGAACAGG
Molecule: ribosomal RNA, 252 nt
Filed under: uncultured Bacteroidales bacterium
Lineage: Bacteria; Pseudomonadati; Bacteroidota; Bacteroidia; Bacteroidales
Description: partial 16S ribosomal RNA
Rfam family: Bacterial small subunit ribosomal RNA
Source: RNAcentral